GUGCCAGCCGCCGCGGUAAUACCGGCAGCCCGAGUGAUGGCCGAUCUUAUUGGGCCUAAAGCGUCCGUAGCUGGCCGCGCAAGUUCGUCGGGAAAUCCACUCGCUUAACGAGUGGGCGUCCGGCGAAAACUGUGCGGCUUGGGACCGGAAGAUCCAAGGGGUACGUCCGGGGUAGGAGUGAAAUCCUGUAAUCCUGGACGGACCGCCGAUGGCGAAAGCACGUCGCGAAGACGGAUCCGACAGUGAGGGACGAAAGCUAGGGUCUCAAACCGGAUUAGAAACCCCGGUAGUCC
Molecule: ribosomal RNA, 293 nt
Filed under: uncultured bacterium
Lineage: Bacteria
Description: partial 16S ribosomal RNA
Rfam family: Archaeal small subunit ribosomal RNA
Source: RNAcentral